CUGGAUCUCUUUGUGUUCUUAAGAAUGCCUUUGUUUCCUUUUGUCUGACUGUUCUUACAUGCUGUUGUCUGGUCCCUUUGGCAAAUUUAGAGACAAAGUUACAGAUUACCAUACUUCUAAGUAGAACCAUUUAGUUCUUGUGAGAUCACCCCAACCUAAAGUGUCCUUCUUCUGUGAAAACUUCUGCUCCCUCCACUAUGUUUCCUUAGCACAAAGCUAACUGUAUAAUGGUUUCUUACAGGAGAUUCUCACAAGGGACUGUGUGGACAUGCAGGGGUCAUUUUGUAAGUUUUGGACAUGAACACAAUUGUCUAUUGAACACGUAGCUCUAUGGAAAAGUGCACAGAGGCCAAAUAACAAUUUGUGGAGUUGGUUCUCUCCUUUCAUCUUUACAUGGGUUCCAGGGAUCAAACUCAUGACACCAGUCUUGUACUGCAAGAACCUUUGUCCACUCU
RNAcentral lists this long non-coding RNA (455 nucleotides) under Cricetulus griseus (Chinese hamster). Its description in RNAcentral is "lncRNA (ENSCGRG00015032782.1)". Lineage: Eukaryota; Metazoa; Chordata; Mammalia; Rodentia; Cricetidae. The record is from RNAcentral.